This 303-nucleotide ribosomal RNA is filed under the name uncultured bacterium. RNAcentral's name for it is "partial 16S ribosomal RNA". It matches the Rfam family "Bacterial small subunit ribosomal RNA", at positions 507 to 807 of the family's 1533-position model. The record is from RNAcentral.
AGCAGCAGCCGCGGGAAUACAGAGGGUGCGAGCGUUAAUCGGAUUUACUGGGCGUAAAGGGAGCGUAGGCGGACAUUUAAGUCAGGGGUGAAAUCCCAGAGCUCAACUCUGGAACUGCCUUUGAUACUGGGUGUCUUGAGUGUGAUAGAGGUAUGUGGAACUCCGAGUGUAGAGGUGAAAUUCGUAGAUAUUCGGAAGAACACCAGUGGCGAAGGCGACAUACUGGAUCAUUACUGACGCUGAGGCUCGAAAGCGUGGGGAGCAAACAGGAUUAGAUACCCCUGUAGUCCCUGUCUCUUAUAC